AGAGCGGCGGAUGCCGGGAAGUUGGUCAAACUUGAUCAUUUAGAGGAAGUAAAAGUCGUAACAAGGUUUCCGUAGGUGAACCUGCGGAAGGAUCAUUACCGAUAAACGAAUCCAAAAAGGUUAUGAUUAACCUCUGUGAACUGUACACAACCUUUAGGGGUCGGUCAUCGUGCCGUUAAAUAGGUCGUUCGUCCGUUGAUUCGGCGUUCGGCCAGCCCCGCCUUUUGUGAUUUGACGCACUUGAAUGUACCAGUCUGAAAUCUUGCUGCCUGUCCUGUCAGGUGGUACUGCAAAAUAAAAAUGAGAGAGACAACUUUUAACGGUGGAUCUCUUGGCUCACGUAUCGAUGAAGAACGCAGCCAGCUGCGAUAAGUAGUGUGAAUUGCAGAAUUCAGUGAAUCAUUGAAUCUUUGAACGCAAAUGGCGCUCUUGGGUUCUCCCAGGAGCAUGUCUGUCUGAGUGUCGGAUAUUAUCUAACGCACUCGAGUGUGCGGAAUUGAGGCGUCACGGCGUGACACAACUCGCCGUGUCCCUUGAAGGAAAGCGUGCUCGACUCGCAUCGUGCGGUUUCAAACCCGCGCGCUCCGUGCGAAGGCUAAAACUAUUUUGUCCUUCGUCGGGGCCCGGGUCCGCCAGCGCGAGCCGGCCGAAAAAGGUGACACUU
RNAcentral lists this unclassified non-coding RNA (664 nucleotides) under Leptopsammia pruvoti. RNAcentral's name for it is "sequence contains ITS1, 5.8S rRNA gene and ITS2". The stretch from base 312 to 465 matches the Rfam family "5.8S ribosomal RNA". Lineage: Eukaryota; Metazoa; Cnidaria; Anthozoa; Scleractinia; Dendrophylliidae. The record is from RNAcentral.